AGAGUUUGAUCCUGGCUCAGGAUGAACGCUGGCGGCGUGCCUAACACAUGCAAGUCGAGCGAUUCUCUUCGGAGAAGAGCGGCGGACGGGUGAGUAACGCGUGGGUAACCUGCCCUGUACACACGGAUAACAUACCGAAAGGUAUGCUAAUACGAGAUAAUAUACUUUUAUCGCAUGGUAGAAGUAUCAAAGCUCCGGCGGUACAGGAUGGACCCGCGUCUGAUUAGCUAGUUGGUAAGGUAACGGCUUACCAAGGCGACGAUCAGUAGCCGACCUGAGAGGGUGAUCGGCCACAUUGGAACUGAGACACGGUCCAAACUCCUACGGGAGGCAGCAGUGGGGAAUAUUGCGCAAUGGGCGAAAGCCUGAUGCAGCAACGCCGCGUGAGCGAUGAAGGCCUUCGGGUCGUAAAGCUCUGUCCUCAAGGAAGAUAAUGACGGUACUUGAGGAGGAAGCCCCGGCUAACUACGUGCCAGCAGCCGCGGUAAUACGUAGGAGGCUAGCGUUAUCCGGAAUUACUGGGCGUAAAGGGUGCGUAGGUGGUUUCUUAAGUCAGAGGUGAAAGGCUACGGCUCAACCGUAGUAAGCCUUUGAAACUGGGAAACUUGAGUGCAGGAGAGGAGAGUGGAAUUCCUAGUGUAGCGGUGAAAUGCGUAGAUAUUAGGAGGAACACCAGUUGCGAAGGCGGCUCUCUGGACUGUAACUGACACUGAGGCACGAAAGCGUGGGGAGCAAUCAGGAUUAGAUACCCUGGUAGUCCACGCCGUAAACGAUGAGUACUAGCUGUCGGAGGUUACCCCCUUCGGUGGCGCAGCU
Molecule: ribosomal RNA, 816 nt
Filed under: uncultured bacterium
Lineage: Bacteria
Description: bacterial SSU rRNA
Rfam family: Bacterial small subunit ribosomal RNA
Source: RNAcentral